GCUAAUACUUGACGGUUUUCACCCCUUGUCGAGUCCAUUCCCUCUGGGAGUGUAAUCGAUGAGGGCGGGGGAUGCUUCACGUAUCCUCUACAUAUUACCACUUUUUUUUGAAUAAGGGUGGAAUAUAUGCCAAGAGAAUUGUAGAAAUCGAGAGAUUUUCACAAGUCAUCAUUAAGAAUAUCUGACCUAUCAACUGGUUGUUGGUAAGGUAGUGGCUUACCAAGGUGAUAACGGGUAACGAGGAAUAAGGGUUCGACAUCGGAGAGGGAGCUUUAGAGAUGGCUACCACUUCUAAGGAAGGCAGCAGGCGCGAAAAUUACCCAAUCUUAACAAAUGAAGGAGGUAGUGACGACAAUUAACGCUAUCCUCGUCUUUUGGCGAGGAUCGUCGGAAUGAUUUCGAUUUAAAAUAUCGAAAGAAAGCAAUUGGAGGGCAAGUCUGGUGCCAGCAGCCGCGGUAAUUCCAGCUCCAAUAGUGUAUUGUAAAGUUGUUGUGAUUAAAACGCUCGUAGUUGAAUGAAAACAAUCGGGACAUGAUUUACGAUCUCUCCUCCAUACGGUGGAUUCGUCCAUUAGGUCGAGUUGAUCAAAAAUCAAACAAUGUCCUACUAUAAGCGAGAGGGUGGAAUUAAUUCCAAACUCUUUUACUUUGAUUAAAUCAAGGUGCUUAAAGCAAAAUCUUCUGUUAACGAAUGAUGAAGCAUGGUAUAGAAUUAAAACAGAACAGAAAGAAUAACGAAUAAAUGGAGAUGGGCAACCAUUCGAAAUUUAUUUAUUUUUGUUUUGUUUAAAACAAGGUUAAGAGAAAUGAUUAGGGUGAUUUAGAUAGGAACGGGAGAGGUGGAAUUCCAUGAUCGUUUCGAGAUAAACGAGAGCGAAAGCAUUUCACUGAAUUCAUUUCAUUAAUCAAGAACGAAAGUCAGGGAAUCAAAGACGAUUAGAUACCGUCGUAGUCCUGACCAUAAACGAUGUCAACUAAGGAUUGGAUAAGAAACAUCGAAGUAUGAGCCUUUUUCUCCAACUUGUUGGAAAAAAAGCGUUUCGCUUCAUUUCUUCCCUUAUUCAGGACUUGAUGAGAAAUCAUUAAGUGAAUGGACUUCAGGGGGAGUAUGGUCACAAGGCUGAAACUUAAAGGAAUUGACGGAAGGGCACACCAGGAGUGGAGCCUGCGGCUUAAUUUGACUCAACACGGGAAAACUUACCAAGACCAAACGGUGUAAGGAAUGACAGAUUACUGGGUCUUUCAUGAUUCAUCGGGGAGU
Molecule: ribosomal RNA, 1261 nt
Filed under: Entamoeba coli
Lineage: Eukaryota; Evosea; Mastigamoebida; Endamoebidae
Description: bacterial SSU rRNA
Rfam family: Eukaryotic small subunit ribosomal RNA
Source: RNAcentral